RNAcentral lists this ribosomal RNA (254 nucleotides) under uncultured bacterium. RNAcentral's name for it is "partial 16S ribosomal RNA". It matches the Rfam family "Bacterial small subunit ribosomal RNA", at positions 524 to 776 of the family's 1533-position model. The record is from RNAcentral.
UACGAAGGGGGCAAGCGUUAUCCGGAAUUAUUGGGCGUAAAGUGUACGUAGACGGUAAUUUUUUGUUUUAAGUGAAAUUUUUGGUUUAUUCUAAAAAAAUGCUUUUUUUACAAAAUUACUUGAGUAUAGUAGAGAAAAAUAGAAUUUCAUGCAUAGGGGUAAAAUCCUUAGAUUUAUGAAGGAAUGCCAGUGGCGAAGGCGAUUUUUUGGGCUAUAACUGACGUUGAGGUACGAAAGCGUAGGGAUCAAACGGG